UACGUAGGGUGCGAGCGUUAAUCGGAAUUACUGGGCGUAAAGCGUGCGCAGGCGGUUUGCUAAGCCCGAUGUGAAAUCCCCGGGCUCAACCUGGGAACUGCAUUGGUGACUGGCAGGCUAGAGUAUGGCAGAGGGGGGUAGAAUUCCACGUGUAGCAGUGAAAUGCGUAGAGAUGUGGAGGAAUACCGAUGGCGAAGGCAGCCCCCUGGGCCAAUACUGACGCUAAUGCACGAAAGCGUGGGGAGCAAACAGG
RNAcentral lists this ribosomal RNA (253 nucleotides) under uncultured bacterium. Its description in RNAcentral is "partial 16S ribosomal RNA". It matches the Rfam family "Bacterial small subunit ribosomal RNA", at positions 524 to 776 of the family's 1533-position model. The record is from RNAcentral.